UGGGGGUGUGGGGAGAGAGAG
RNAcentral lists this microRNA (21 nucleotides) under Homo sapiens (human). RNAcentral describes it as "hsa-miR-7110-5p". The record is from miRBase by way of RNAcentral. Lineage: Eukaryota; Metazoa; Chordata; Mammalia; Primates; Hominidae.